CAGCAGCCGCGGUAAUACGAAGGGGGCUAGCGUUGCUCGGAAUUACUGGGCGUAAAGGGCGCGUAGGCGGACAGUUAAGUCAGAGGUGAAAGCCCAGGGCUCAACCUUGGAACUGCCUUUGAUACUGGCUGUCUAGAGUGCGGGAGAGGUGUGUGGAACUCCGAGUGUAGAGGUGAAAUUCGUAGAUAUUCGGAGAACACCAGUGGCGAAGGCGGCUCACUGGUCCGGAACUGACGCUGAGGCACGACAGCGUGGGGAGCAAACAGGAUUAGAGACCCCCGUAGUCCCUGUCUCUUAUACA
Molecule: ribosomal RNA, 301 nt
Filed under: uncultured bacterium
Lineage: Bacteria
Description: partial 16S ribosomal RNA
Rfam family: Bacterial small subunit ribosomal RNA
Source: RNAcentral